CAAGUGAAGAAGCGCAUACGGUGGAUGCCUUGGCAGUCAGAGGCGAUGAAAGACGUUGUAGCCUGCGAUAAGCUUUGGGGAGUCGGCAAACAGACUGUGAUCCAGAGAUCUCUGAAUGGGGGAACCCACCUAGCAUAAGCUGGGUAUCAUGCACUGAAUACAUAGGUGCAUGAGGCGAACCAGGGGAACUGAAACAUCUAAGUACCCUGAGGAAAAGAAAUCAACCGAGAUUCCCUUAGUAGUGGCGAGCGAACGGGGACUAGCCCUUAAGUUGAUUUGAGAUUAGUGGAAGGCUCUGGAAAGUGCCGCCGUAGUGGGUGAUAGCCCCGUACACGAAAAUCUCUUAUCAAUGAAAUCGAGUAGGACGGAGCACGAGAAACUUUGUCUGAAUAUGGGGGGACCAUCCUCCAAGGCUAAAUACUACUGACUGACCGAUAGUGAACUAGUACCGUGAGGGAAAGGCGAAAAGAACCCCGGAGAGGGGAGUGAAAUAGAUCCUGAAACCGUAUGCGUACAAGCAGUGGGAGCAGACUUGUUCUGUGACUGCGUACCUUUUGUAUAAUGGGUCAGCGACUUAUAUUCAGUGGCGAGCUUAACCGAAUAGGGGAGGCGUAGCGAAAGCGAGUCUUAAUAG
This 634-nucleotide ribosomal RNA is filed under the name Pseudomonas sp. URMO17WK12:I2. Its description in RNAcentral is "bacterial LSU rRNA". It matches the Rfam family "Bacterial large subunit ribosomal RNA", at positions 4 to 690 of the family's 2925-position model. Lineage: Bacteria; Pseudomonadati; Pseudomonadota; Gammaproteobacteria; Pseudomonadales; Pseudomonadaceae. The record is from RNAcentral.